UUUUUAUGUGGGUUUU
This 16-nucleotide small RNA is filed under the name Arabidopsis thaliana (thale cress). RNAcentral's name for it is "ATSL029900". Lineage: Eukaryota; Viridiplantae; Streptophyta; Magnoliopsida; Brassicales; Brassicaceae. The record is from RNAcentral.